Molecule: long non-coding RNA, 1393 nt
Organism: Mastomys coucha (southern multimammate mouse)
Lineage: Eukaryota; Metazoa; Chordata; Mammalia; Rodentia; Muridae
Exons: 2
Source: RefSeq, a predicted model, not a curated record
CCCCAACACCCUGUCCUCACUUACUUGAAGGUCACUGAGAUUGUUCACGUGCGUCCCACAGCACAUGUUGGAAUCAACACCCUCGAUGGUAACAACUCGAAUGGGCCCAGCAUGAUCAUCGGGCAGACCCCGGCCCCUCACCUGGAACAGAGGGAAGGUAACAGGGCUGUCUGAACUUCGAUGAGGAGCCCUUGGAGAGCCACCCUGUGGAAACUGCUGCUGGCUCUCUCCUCACCUGCUCCACCUCAGGGUCAUCCAGGCUCAGCUCCCGCACACUCACAGGCAGCCGGUCUCUGAUUUUCUGAUUGACACUCUGCUCAAUGGCAGCCACCUGCUCAGCAGUCACAGAAGGGCUGUCCAACUCAAUCACACUCCGGAGUCUCCCUAAUUCCCUACCAGGGAAAGAAGCAUGGACACAUCAUGCUGGGAGUUCAUGAGGCACGCUCACACCGAGCCUGAAGGUGCAUGCCCUGAAUCCUAGUGCUUGGAAGAUGGAGGGAGGCCUGGACUUUAAGGUUGCCUGUGAAUACACAGUGAGUUCAGGUUCCUAUAACAAAAGGGGUAGGGGCCACACUUAUCCAUACUCAGGAGGCUAACUGCUGUGAAUUCAAACAAAACCCCAUAGGUAGAGACUGCCAUUCCCAUUUUACAAUGGAAGCGUAAUAAACAACAGGACCAAAGUCAUGCAAUGGAGGAACCACAGAUUUAGCUCCAGGCUCUAUACUGUAUGUUCUUUCCCAAUCAAAGGCAGAUGUGCCUGUCUCCUCUUAAGUUUCUCCUAAGAGACACCAAAGCAUCCAUGACCCAAUCUUCAAGAGAAGGCAGGUACCUUGAGCACUGUCCCUGCCUUUACUUGCCUGCCCUAACCCAGCACUGGGUCCAAUCAUACCAUGUGCCUCUACUUACCAUGACGUUGUCUUCAGCCCGAAGAGAAGGUCAGCAACCGCGGUGAUGAGAUGCUGCCCUGAGCCAAGAGAGAGGAGCAAAGUGAGAUGGCCAGCUACACAGCCAUAGGCCUGACAGGCAUUUUCACUGAAAACCGUAAGGGCUGGAAGCCUGUCUCAAAGUGACAGAGUGCUUGCCUAGAUUGUUAAGGCUGCUCUGUGACAGAGGGCUCAGCUAGCACAGGCAAGACCCUGGCUUUACUCUCCAGCAGUACAAGGAAAUAAGAGGAUUGCUCUGUGGCACGAGGUCCUGGAUUUAGUCCUUAAUAUGGGGAAAAGAAAAGGCUCUUUGGGCUGUUGUAUAGGAACAGAGGAGCAAGGAGCAAGACUGCACAUGAGGAAACCAGCCAGAGGUCCAUAGGGGAGACAGUGAGGGCGGGGGCUGGGACUACUGCAGUGGACAGAAGCAGAAAGAUAAUUGAGGAUAAAUGGAGACACUCGGUGACUGA